GACAGAGGUGCCGAGCGUUAGGCGGAAUCACUGGGCUUAAAGCGUGUGUAGGCGGGUCCGGAAGUACCUUGUGAAAUCCCACGGCUCAACCGUGGAACUGCUGGGUAUACUGCGGGUCUUGAGCCACUUAGGGGCAAGCGGAACAAACGGUGGAGCGGUGAAAUGCGUAGAUAUCGUUUGGAACGCCAAUGGUGAAAACAGCUUGCUGGGAGUGUGCUGACGCUGAGACACGAAAGCCAGGGGAGCAAACGGG
RNAcentral lists this ribosomal RNA (253 nucleotides) under uncultured bacterium. RNAcentral describes it as "partial 16S ribosomal RNA". It matches the Rfam family "Bacterial small subunit ribosomal RNA", at positions 524 to 776 of the family's 1533-position model. The record is from RNAcentral.